UCUUGGUCCCAAUUAGAGGAAGUAAAAGUCGUAACAAGGUCUCCGUUGGUGAACCAGCGGAGGGAUCAUUACUGAGUUUACGCUCUACAACCCUUUGUGAACAUACCUAUAACUGUUGCUUCGGCGGGUAGGGUCUCCGUGACCCUCCCGGCCUCCCGCCCCCGGGCGGGUCGGCGCCCGCCGGAGGAUAACCAAACUCUGAUUUAACGACGUUUCUUCUGAGUGGUACAAGCAAAUAAUCAAAACUUUUAACAACGGAUCUCUUGGUUCUGGCAUCGAUGAAGAACGCAGCGAAAUGCGAUAAGUAAUGUGAAUUGCAGAAUUCAGUGAAUCAUCGAAUCUUUGAACGCACAUUGCGCCCGCCAGCAUUCUGGCGGGCAUGCCUGUUCGAGCGUCAUUUCAACCCUCAAGCUCUGCUUGGUGUUGGGGCCCUACAGCUGAUGUAGGCCCUCAAAGGUAGUGGCGGACCCUCCCGGAGCCUCCUUUGCGUAGUAACUUUACGUCUCGCACUGGGAUCCGGAGGGACUCUUGCCGUAAAACCCCCAAUUUUCCAAAGGUUGACCUCGGAUCAGGUAGGAAUACCCGCUGAACUUAAGCAUAUCAAAACCGGGAGGAA
Molecule: ribosomal RNA, 616 nt
Filed under: Colletotrichum siamense
Lineage: Eukaryota; Fungi; Ascomycota; Sordariomycetes; Glomerellales; Glomerellaceae
Description: eukaryotic LSU rRNA
Rfam family: 5.8S ribosomal RNA (bases 244-397)
Source: RNAcentral